RNAcentral lists this microRNA precursor (402 nucleotides) under Amborella trichopoda. RNAcentral describes it as "miR8552c stem-loop (atr-MIR8552c)". Lineage: Eukaryota; Viridiplantae; Streptophyta; Magnoliopsida; Amborellales; Amborellaceae. The record is from miRBase by way of RNAcentral.
ACCCAUGGGUUGACUGCUACAGUAAAUGCCCACGGCCCAGAUUGAAUCUGAGCCGAUCUGAUGGUCACGAUCUCAUUUCACAUUUGAAUUUUCAUUUUUUUUCUACAGAUCCAAAUCACUUGAAAUUUGGGUGUCUAUUCUUCAAAAAUCAUAGAAUCUAAUAAAAAUACAAAAAAAAUAAUUCGUAAAAUAUAAAUUAAGUCAAUUUAUAUUUUACUAGUUAUUUUUUUUAUAUAUUAUUUGGUGCGCCUUGAUGAGAAGAAUGAACGUCCCAAAUUUCAAGUGAUUUGGAUUUGUUGAAAAAAAAACGUAAAAUUCAACUACGAAAUGAGGCCGUGAUCGUCAAAUUGGCUCAUAUUCAAUUUAGGCCAUGAGCGUUAAUGUAGCAGUCAGCCCGUCGGU